This 253-nucleotide ribosomal RNA is filed under the name uncultured bacterium. Its description in RNAcentral is "partial 16S ribosomal RNA". It matches the Rfam family "Bacterial small subunit ribosomal RNA", at positions 524 to 776 of the family's 1533-position model. The record is from RNAcentral.
UACGGAGGGCGCGAGCGUUAAUCGGAAUCACUGGGCGUAAAGCGCGCGCAGGCGGCCUUUCAAGUCCGACGUGAAAGCCCCGGGCUCAACCUGGGAACUGCGCCGGAUACUGGGGGGCUGGAGUGUGGGAGAGGGGUGUGGAAUUUCCGGUGUAGCAGUGAAAUGCGUAGAGAUCGGAAGGAACACCAGUGGCGAAGGCGGCACCCUGGACCAACACUGACGCUGAGGCGCGAAAGCGUGGGGAGCAAACAGG